UACGAGGGGGGCUAGCGUUGUUCGGAUUUACUGGGCGUAAAGCGCACGUAGGCGGAUUGUUAAGUCGGGGGUGAAAUCCUGGAGCUCAACUCCAGAACUGCCUUCGAUACUGGAAAGCUCGAGUCCGGGAGAGGUGAGUGGAACUGCGAGUGUAGAGGUGAAAUUCGUAGAUAUUCGCAAGAACACCAGUGGCGAAGGCGGCUCACUGGCCCGGUACUGACGCUGAGGUGCGAAAGCGUGGGGAGCAAACAGG
This 253-nucleotide ribosomal RNA is filed under the name uncultured bacterium. RNAcentral's name for it is "partial 16S ribosomal RNA". It matches the Rfam family "Bacterial small subunit ribosomal RNA", at positions 524 to 776 of the family's 1533-position model. The record is from RNAcentral.